GACGAACGCUGGCGGCGUGCCUAAUACAUGCAAGUAGAACGCUGAAGGAGGAGCUUGCUCUUCUGGAUGAGUUGCGAACGGGUGAGUAACGCGUAGGUAACCUGCCUGGUAGCGGGGGAUAACUAUUGGAAACGAUAGCUAAUACCGCAUAAGAGUAGAUGUCGCAUGACAUUUGCUUAAAAGGUGCAAUUGCAUCACUACCAGAUGGACCUGCGUUGUAUUAGCUAGUUGGUGAGGUAACGGCUCACCAAGGCAACGAUACAUAGCCGACCUGAGAGGGUGAUCGGCCACACUGGGACUGAGACACGGCCCAGACUCCUACGGGAGGCAGCAGUAGGGAAUCUUCGGCAAUGGACGGAAGUCUGACCGAGCAACGCCGCGUGAGUGAAGAAGGUUUUCGGAUCGUAAAGCUCUGUUGUAAGAGAAGAACGAGUGUGAGAGUGGAAAGUUCACACUGUGACGGUGUCUUACCAGAAAGGGGACGGCUAACUACGUGCCAGCAGCCGCGGUAAUACGUAGGUCCCGAGCGUUGCCCGGAUUUAUUGGGCGUAAAGCGAGCGCAGGCGGUUAGAUAAUCUGAAGUGAAAGGCUGUGGCUUAACCAUAGUACGCUUUGGAAACUGUUUAACUUGAGUGCAUGAGGGGAGAGUGGAUUUGCAUGUGUAGCGGUGAAAUGCGUAGAAUAUGAAGGAACACCGGUGUGAAAUCGGCUCUUGGCUUUUUGUUGUGUGCUGAUGCUCGUGGGGGUGGGACAUGUGGUGUAUGACGCUGUUAUGCCAGUGGUGUGUCGCUUGGGUUUGGCUCUCGUUGUGUGUGCCGCGGAAAAAAAAAAAAAAAAAGGUUGGUGUAUUAAUGUGGUGUGUGUUGUUGUGUGUGCGUGUUGCUGUAUAUGUUGUGUUGUGGUUGCCUGAUUGUUGUUGUGCUGUGUGUGUGUUCUGUGUUUUUUGUGUGUGUCU
RNAcentral lists this ribosomal RNA (955 nucleotides) under uncultured Streptococcus sp. Its description in RNAcentral is "bacterial SSU rRNA". The stretch from base 1 to 769 matches the Rfam family "Bacterial small subunit ribosomal RNA", at positions 28 to 873 of the family's 1533-position model. The record is from RNAcentral. Lineage: Bacteria; Bacillati; Bacillota; Bacilli; Lactobacillales; Streptococcaceae.